RNAcentral lists this ribosomal RNA (253 nucleotides) under uncultured bacterium. Its description in RNAcentral is "partial 16S ribosomal RNA". It matches the Rfam family "Bacterial small subunit ribosomal RNA", at positions 524 to 776 of the family's 1533-position model. The record is from RNAcentral.
UACGAAGGGUGCAAGCGUUACUCGGAAUCACUGGGCGUAAAGCGUGCGUAGGCGGUUUCUUAAGUCUGUCGUGAAAGCCCUGGGCUCAACCUGGGAAUGGCGAUGGAUACUGGGAAGCUAGAGUGUGAUAGAGGAUCGUGGAAUUCUCGGUGUAGAGGUGAAAUUCGUAGAUAUCGAGAGGAACACCGGUGGCGAAGGCGGCGAUCUGGACGAUGACUGACGCUGAGGCGCGAAAGCUAGGGGAGCAAACGGG